Molecule: ribosomal RNA, 245 nt
Filed under: uncultured bacterium
Lineage: Bacteria
Description: partial 16S ribosomal RNA
Rfam family: Bacterial small subunit ribosomal RNA
Source: RNAcentral
UACGUAGGGGGCAAGCGUUACCCGGAUUUAUUGGGCAUAAAGGGCGUGUAGGCGGUAAUUUAAGUCAGAUGUAAAAACCCUAGGCUCAACCUAGGUCUGCAUUUGAUACUGAUUUACUAGAGGUUAGGAGAGGAAAGUAGAACUCAUAGUGUAGCGGUGACAUGCGUAGAUAUUAUGAGGAAUACCAGUUGCGAAGGCGGCUUUCUGGCCUGAAUCUGACGCUGAGGCGCGAAAGCGUGGGGAGC